This 73-nucleotide transfer RNA is filed under the name uncultured Roseburia sp. Its description in RNAcentral is "tRNA-Gly(tcc)". It matches the Rfam family "tRNA". From Rfam's summary of the family: Transfer RNA (tRNA) molecules are approximately 80 nucleotides in length. Their secondary structure includes four short double-helical elements and three loops (D, anti-codon, and T loops). Lineage: Bacteria; Bacillati; Bacillota; Clostridia; Lachnospirales; Lachnospiraceae. The record is from RNAcentral.
GCGGGUGUAGUUCAAUGGUAGAACACCAGCCUUCCAAGCUGGAUACGUGGGUUCGAUUCCCCGUCUAUCGCUC